Molecule: ribosomal RNA, 1400 nt
Filed under: uncultured bacterium
Lineage: Bacteria
Description: bacterial SSU rRNA
Rfam family: Bacterial small subunit ribosomal RNA
Source: RNAcentral
AGAGUUUGAUCCUGGCUCAGAACGAACGCUGGCGGCGCGUCUUAAGCAUGCAAGUCGGGCGGGAUCCAUGCGCUUGCGCAUGGUGAGAGCGGCGGACUGGCGAGUAACACGUGGGCGACGCGCCCUCCGGACGGGAAUAGCCUGUAGAAAUACAGGGUAAUGCCGGAUGCGAACGCGCGCGCUGGAGGCGCGCGUGGAAAGCCCCCACGGGGGCGCCGGAGGAGCGGCCCGCGGCCCAUCAGCUUGUAGGCGGUGCAAGGGACCACCUAGGCUACGACGGGUACCCGGCCUCAGAGGGCGGACGGGCGCAUUGGGACUGAGAUACGGCCCAGACUCCUACGGGAGGCAGCAGCUAAGAAUAUUCCGCAAUGGGGGGAACCCUGACGGAGCGACGCCGCGUGGGCGAGGAAGGCCGGAAGGUUGUAAAGCCCUUUUGCGCGCGAGGAAUAAGGGGAGGAGGGAAUGCCUUCCCGGUGACUGUAGCGCGCGAAUAAGCGCCGGCUAAUUACGUGCCAGCAGCCGCGGUAACACGUAAGGCGCGAGCGUUGUUCGGAAUCAUUGGGCGUAAAGGGCGUGUAGGCGGCCCUGCAAGCCUGGCGUGAAAUCCCGGGGCUCAACCCCGGAACCGCGCUGGGAACUGCUGGGCUGGAGCCGCUGUGGCGCAGCCGGAAUUCCAGGUGUAGGGGUGAAAUCUGUAGAUAUCUGGAAGAACACCGAUGGCGAAGGCAGGCUGCGAGCGGACGGCUGACGCUGAGGCGCGAAGGCGCGGGGAGCGAACAGGAUUAGAUACCCUGGUAGUCCGCGCAGUAAACGAUGCACACUGGGUGUCCGGGCAUGAGCCCGGGUGCCGAAGCGAACGCGUUAAGUGUGCCGCCUGGGGAGUAUGCCCGCAAGGGUGAAACUCAAAGGAAUUGACGGGGGCCCGCACAAGCGGAGGAACAUGUGGUUUAAUUCGAUGAUACGCGAGGAACCUUACCCGGGCUUGAAUUGCAGGAGAACGAGACAGAGAUGUUGAGGCCCUUCGGGGCUCCUGUGAAGGUGCUGCAUGGUUGUCGUCAGCUCGUGCCGUGAGGUGUCGGCUUAAGUGCCAUAACGAGCGCAACCCCUCUCCAUAGUUGCCAUCAGGUAAUGCUGGGCACUCUGUGGACACUGCCACCGUAAGGUGUGAGGAAGGUGGGGAUGACGUCAAAUCAGCACGGCCCUUACGUCCGGGGCUACACACGUGUUACAAUGGCGGCCACAGAGGGAAGCUACCCCGCGAGGGGAUGCGGAUCUCGAAAAGCCGUCCCAGUUCGGACUGGAGUCUGCAACCCGACUCCACGAAGUUGGAUUCGCUAGUAAUCGCGCAUCAGCCAUGGCGCGGUGAAUACGUUCCCGGGCCUUGUACUCACCGCCCGUCA